Molecule: ribosomal RNA, 451 nt
Filed under: uncultured bacterium
Lineage: Bacteria
Description: partial 16S ribosomal RNA
Rfam family: Bacterial small subunit ribosomal RNA
Source: RNAcentral
GUGGGGAAUAUUGGACAAUGGGCGAAAGCCUGAUCCAGCCAUGCCGCGUGUGUGAAGAAGGCCUUUUGGUUGUAAAGCACUUUAAGCGAGGAGGAGGCUACCGAGAUUAAUACUCUAGGAUAGUGGACGUUACUCGCAGAAUAAGCACCGGCUAACUCUGUGCCAGCAGCCGCGGUAAUACAGAGGGUGCGAGCGUUAAUCGGAUUUACUGGGCGUAAAGCGUGCGUAGGCGGCUUUUUAAGUCGGAUGUGAAAUCCCUGAGCUUAACUUAGGAAUUGCAUUCGAUACUGGGAAGCUAGAGUAUGGGAGAGGAUGGUAGAAUUCCAGGUGUAGCGGUGAAAUGCGUAGAGAUCUGGAGGAAUACCGAUGGCGAAGGCAGCCAUCUGGCCUAAUACUGACGCUGAGGUACGAAAGCAUGGGGAGCAAACAGGAUUAGAUACCCGAGUAGUCC